UAAAUUUUAAAUUUUAAAUUUUAAAUUUUAAAAAUUAAAAUUUAAAAAUUCAAAUAUGAAUUUAAAAUUUCAAAAUUUAAAUUUAAUGUUAAAUUUAUACUUUAAAUCUAAAAUAAAAAUAAAAAAUUUGAGUCCAAAAUCAUAAUCAGUUUUGGAAAAGCAAUUUUUUUCUGAUUCUGAUUCUAGAGCCUUCAAAGGCUUAAUUAGUUUGAUAUUGAGGCCUAUCUAACGCUAUUAGAUAAAUAAAGUUUGGGUAAAAGCAUAUAAAAAUAUGCUUCUUCGUUCUCCGAUGGGACCGCAGAAAAUAUACUGUAACCGACUAAUCGCGAUAUACAAAAUGCAAUAUUAUGUACGAAAAUAAACUCGUACUUUCUCAACGCACGUAACGCAAUCUCCCCAUAAUCCCAAACGAAGCCAAAAUCAGUUUUCUGAUUCUAAAAAGCAGAAUCAAAUUUUCUAUCUGUCGUUCCCAAACGGUCUACUGAGUUGAAAAGUAAUUUUAAGCUCAAAAUCACUUCUAAGAAGUUAGACCAAACACCCCCUAAAUUAGCUUCUAAAAUAGAAGUUGCUGCUACAACCAAGAACAUAAUUGCCGAAUACUGCAACUAAAAUAAACAUGUGGAUUUCUUUUCACCUAUGCCAUAAAUUCUCAUAAACAACACCUUCAUUCAUGCAUCUACGAAGGACAAAUCAAAUAUGCUUCUUGAAAAUUACAAGCGCAUGAUAAAUUAAACAGCAACCAGAGAAAACAAGAAACCCAUAGCCUAGGGCAUGACAAUCGAAAUUAGUUGACAAACAAAAAAAGAAACAGUUUUCGAUAGCUGAGCUAGGACUGUUAAGUGAUGCAUGUAAAUUUGAGCUUAGAAACACAAAUAGUGAGACAAAUAUAAUUCAGCUCCUCAGGAUAGAAUAAAAACUAGUAACGAGAAAUGUUUCUCGAUAACCAUUUGUUUAACUUGCAACCAGCUGACCGCCUGAAUUCUGCAGAAGUAACGUAGGAAUAAAAAUAACUAACGGAUCAAUUGGCGUGCUAUCAUCUUUCUGACAUAAACACAAACAAACACAAGAAAACAUAAACCAUGGCAAAUACUGGGAUCUUUCAUCAAGAUAAAGAAUCAUCUAAUUUUUGAAAAGAGCCACUACCUUUUAGCUCAAGCACAGCAUAGUCUAAAUCUAUGGAUGAGAAAAGAGAAGGCAUUGGUCACUGGGAAUUAGGGAUCCUGCUUGUAUAAAGACGUAUAUUACCUGGUAGAAAUCAUAUGCCAACACUACGGUGAUAUUUCCUUCCGAGAUAAGAGUAACAGGAGCAGUGCUACUAGUUGUAGACCAUGUAUUUGGGCGUUCCGCUGAACUUCUGACAACCCUUAAUAACCUUAUUCACUGCAUCAAGAAAGUCCUUUUCUGUUACCGUCUUCCUGUGUGCCCGGAUCGCAUACAUCCCGGCUUCGGUGCACACACUCCUUAUGUCCACCCCUAAUAUAAAGAAAUACAGGAAAUAGUUAGGAACUUAUAAAGAACAAAUAGAGCAAUUUUGAUGUUUGUCCAAGUAAAAUAGACCGUAGAAAAACAUAUGACACCAAGCAUCUAAGUUCCAAGCAUUCGGACUGGCUUUUACUUUUUUUUACUUUUAAAGAAAAGGAGAAAAAAAGUGUAUCGGAGCAUAGUAACUNUAUGCUUACGUGCUUUUCAAUGGAACUACAAAAAUCAUUUCUUCAAAACUGAAUUAGCCUAGAUGUUAUGUAAGCUGAACUAUAUAUCCUUAACUAACAGGAAAGAUGCAUGAACCAAGCUCAGAACCUCUUAAACCAGAAGGGAAUGAAUAAUGACUCAGAAUACUGUAUUAUCCACCAAAUUAAUAUAUAUAUAUAUUAAUUGUAUUAAAAAAUAUUCUAGAACUAACCUGGACAAGGUUGAAGCUACAAUUUCUUUGUGUAUGAAGAAGGAUUAGUCAUCUUCCCGCUUAAUUCAUACUUGCCAUGUGUGAUUUCCUACUUGGGUCUCUACAAGCAAGCAGAAAAGCUUUAAAGCUUGAGAAACAAGUUAGCAGACUAAAGCCGAAGACUUGGAUAUGAUUAACAAUAGACUUGUACUACUCUCACAACUAAGGCGACAUCUAUAACACGGUUUCUUUCUAAAAGCCUCGAGUAGAAAAGGAACUUAAUAUGAGGAAACACUGGUGGACUCAAAUAGUAAGUCUGAUACUUCUGCUGCAUCGAAAAGCUAAUAAAUAAAUUAGCUUCUAAAAUAGAAGUUGCUACUACAACAAGAACAUAAUUGCCGAAUACUGCAACUAAAAUAAAAAUGUGGAUUUCUUUUCACCUAUGCCAUAAAUUCUCAUAAACAACACCUUCAUUCACGCAUCUACGAUGGACAAAUCAAAUAUGCUUCGUGAAAAUUACAAGCGCAUGCUAAAUUAAACAGCAAGCAGAGAAAACAAAAACCCGUAGCCUAGGGCAUGACAAUCAAAAUUAGUUGACAAACAAAAAAGGAAACAGUUUUCAAUAGCUGAGCUAGGACUGUUAAGUGAUGCAUGUAAAUUUGAGCUUAGAAACACAAAUAGUGAGACAAAUAUAAUUCAGUUCCUCAGGAUAGAAUUUAAACUAGUAACAAGAAAUGUUUCUCGAUAACCAUUUGUUUAACUUGCAACCAGCUGACUGCCUGAAUUCUGCAGAAGGAACGUAGAAAUAAAAAUAACUAACAGAUCAAUUGGCGUGCUGUCAUCUUUCUGACAUAAACACAAACAAACACACAAGAAAACAUAAACCAUGGCAAAUACUGGGAUCUUUCAUCAAGAUAAAGAAUCAUCUAAUUUCUGAAAAGAGCCACUACCUUUUGCUCAAAGCACACCAUAGUCUAAAUCUAUGGAUGAGAAAAGAGAAG
RNAcentral lists this long non-coding RNA (2880 nucleotides) under Ananas comosus (pineapple). RNAcentral describes it as "long non-coding RNA (ACOM_LNC022491)". Lineage: Eukaryota; Viridiplantae; Streptophyta; Magnoliopsida; Poales; Bromeliaceae. The record is from RNAcentral.